UGGGACCCAAAAAGGUAGAAGCUACAUAACCAUGGAUGAGUUGAUAACCAUUCAUGGCUAUAUAAUACAUUAAUGUUACGAUUUAAUGUUACUAAUCUUUGGUGAUUGAUCUCAUUGCCAGCUUAAGGGAAAUUCUAUUUGAUUUGUUAAUUAGUUAGUGUAGUCCCCCUAUAAUUGUUAAUGUUAGUAAGAUAUAUGGACAGAGCUAGGUAUAGGCCUGAGGUUGCCAUGACAUCCAAGCGUCUAUACAAGUCUAUUCCACCAUCGAUAAGAAACACUUCAAAACUUAAACUAUAGAAGAAAAUUAUCCCUUACUUAUCAACCGUUAUUACAGUGAUUAAGUGCAAUAACAAUUGAGUUCAUGAAUUUCUUUUUUCUCCAAACUGGUUUUUAAAGUGUUUUUGAGUUUUUAGGGGAUCAAUUACGAGGCAACAAAGACCUCUUCACUUACAAUAUAAACUACGUACACUUAUUCUAGCAGCCCCCAACUUGGUUUCUUUUCUCAACCUAAACACAUUUGAGCUGGGGAACACACACAAGAUUGAGCCACGUACCCCCAACCCAAAUUUUGUCAUCCCAACACAAAGAGUUAGGUCACAACUCACAACAUGAACAUGAGUACCAAGAAAGAAUGCUA
Molecule: long non-coding RNA, 637 nt
Filed under: Prunus persica (peach)
Lineage: Eukaryota; Viridiplantae; Streptophyta; Magnoliopsida; Rosales; Rosaceae
Description: long non-coding RNA (PPER_LNC002771)
Source: RNAcentral